CUGCUGCUGCUGCUGCUGGUGGUGAUGGUGGUGGUGGCAGUGGUGGUGGUGGUGGUGGUGAUGGUAAUACUGGUAUCGAAAGUGCCCCCGUGAUAAGUGAAGGAGGUGAUAGAGGUGAGCUGGUACCAUGCUGCUAGAGAUGAGAGAAAGAGACAGGGAAAGGUGGCCGUGCAGGUUCCACAUCGUAUGAACUCGUUUAUCUGGCUGUGAAGAACCUCUCGGUCACUUCUCCCGAUGGAAGCUAAGAACUCACACCAGGAAAACUAAGGAGGAUCUGGCUGGUCUGUUACUCAUUUCUUUUCUCUGGACCUUCUGGAUAAGGUGCCCAAGGCAGAGAGUUGGGGAGUUCUGAGCCUCUCACUGAGCAGUCGCCUGACUGGUGCUUCGUAAGGACAGCAGCCACAUGGACUCUAACCAUGGAUGCUCCGUGUGCACAACACGGUAGCCAUUCUCCACUCUGGAAGGAUGGAAAACGGCUCCGCUUUGGUGCCACGGAGCCCAGGGCCAUCUCCAAAAGUGUGAACCUAUCAUUUCCUCUCAACCUCAAUAAGCUGCUUCUAGAACAUACAGGCAGUAUAAAAUUCACAAAGCAAACUCUCCCUCAAAACUUCCCCUGUGGAGGCCCUGAAGCUCUAGGACUCUGGGCUCAAUCAUCCACAGCCAACUCACAGGAGUCUGGGUCAGGAACCUAAAGAUCGGGUUUUUUUCCUGAAGAGGACCCCUGAAGCAAAGAUAAACUAAGCAAGCUACCUGGGAAUCAAGCCCAGAACAUUCACUCCAACAACACGACAUUCAAAUCAUGCACCAUGGUGGUUACAGCUUAAGAAAAAUCUAUUGGAGGUACACAAAGAUGGGCAAACUAGCCAGAUUCUGAAGGGACGGUGCUCAGGCUUUAACACCAUCCCUGACUCAAUUCACUUCCUGUUCUGAGCAUUUCCAGUCAUUGGGGAGCAAGGUCAGUAAAAGAGGAGGAGAAAGAACAUUUGUUUUGAAUGCUUCACGAUCCUGAGUCUCUGUCACCUCUUGCACUUUUCUGUAACUCAGAGGGAAACUGAGGCAGCUGAGGUAACUGGAGUGGGAUGCUGGGAAAUGAGACCACCAUUUCCUAAUACUGAGCUGGGACAGGUUCCAUCCGUCAUGGGCAGCUUGUCUCUUGGAGCCAAGUUGGAGCCAUUACAAAUCCCAAAGUUGGAUUGUAGAGAUGGCUCAGUGGUUAACAGCACCUCCACUCUUGCAGAGAGGAGACUGGUUCCACUCCCAGCACCACGCACGGUGUGAUCCAGAAACAUCUAUAACUCCAGCACCAGAGGAUCUGACACCCUUUUUCUGAUCUCUGGGAGGCACCAGGCGUACACCUGGUGUACAUACGUGCAUGAAUGCAAACCAUUCACACACAAAAAAUGAAAAAGAAGUCCAAAAGCCAAAGAAGCAAGGUGUUCCAAGCGACGAAAACCUUGCAAGCAUGCUCAGUCCUUCUGUCUUCUUCCCUUCCCAGCUGCCAACCUGGACCAGGGAGGAAAAGCUAGCACUGGAGAUGCACAGGAUAUCUCUGGCUGCUCUCAGUGUCUUGUUUUUUCUCAUGAGUAGCCUGGGUUCCCAGAUUUUCUUAUUUCUUUCCCCAAGGAAGAAACCUCGACAACGAAAAUCCCAAGCCCAUGUGAAAGACGAGUUGAUUCCAGCUGCUUGGUACUUAACACUGGCAGACAAGCUCUAAGGACCACCACCAAGAAGACACAGCACAAGACAGCCCACACCAGAUAAUCCUCCAGCUAAUCCAAUUCCUUGAUGACAAGGCAGGACAUCAGAGGCAGCUAUGCAAAAGAGGAAGUGAUGCCGGGCCUCCCCCUCCAGAAGGGAAGAAGUACUCAUUAUCACGCCAAGGGCACCGUUCAGUCCCACUUCCAAGGCUAGCUGUGCUCACAUUUAUUAACGUCUGUUUUCCCAGGCAACAGGAGAUGACGCACACACCCUCCUCGAGACAGAGUCGGCAGAUUUAUUUCCCCAUUAAUGUUCUGGGAAGAACACAAUAGCAUCCAGAGAGCCAGAUGGGUGAGCAGCACCAUUCCAACAGGGUGUUCUACCAACCUCCUCUGGAAAUUAAAUAGAAACACUGUUGCCCCCGUUCCUCCUUAACAACCUAAUGGAUUUUCCACCAACUUAACCAGCCUGAGUCCGCUGGAGGAUGGGCUGCAAGCACCUUGAGGUUUGUGUGGUUUCUAUAACGCUCAUUGGUCUUGUAAAUAGAGCCGGUCUUUAACGAGCCCAGUGGGCCUUUCUGGAUUUGCUCAUCAGCAACCCUGUGGAAGGGGCAGGAGAGCUGUGACAGAUGCAAU
RNAcentral lists this small RNA (2333 nucleotides) under Rattus norvegicus (Norway rat). Its description in RNAcentral is "uncharacterized LOC102550782". Lineage: Eukaryota; Metazoa; Chordata; Mammalia; Rodentia; Muridae. The record is from RNAcentral.